This 67-nucleotide transfer RNA is filed under the name Amaga expatria. RNAcentral's name for it is "tRNA-Ala". Lineage: Eukaryota; Metazoa; Platyhelminthes; Tricladida; Geoplanidae. The record is from RNAcentral.
AACUUUAUAGUUUAUAGAAAAAAAAUAUUUAAUUUGCAUUUAAAUGAAAAAUUUUAUUUUAGAGUUA